AAAUCUCGUUGCAACUUAGUGAUUUAGCCAUGAAAAUUGUUCCUUUGAAGUUGAGUGAUUCAAACUGCCAUUGCAACCAAUCCUCUUCACUUAGAAAUUUGCUAAAAAUCCAAAUCAUCUUCAAAUCUAAAAAAAAUUGUGUCUUUCAUAGCUUAGCUUACAAAGACCAAUGCUCCCAAAAUUUCAAUUGAAUCCAAUUAUAAGUCAGUGAGAAAUGCCUUUUUAAACUCAAUUAAUUCAAACUAAGAAGGCAGUCAACUCCCUUACAGUCAAAAUUUCACUAAAACUUCA
RNAcentral lists this long non-coding RNA (291 nucleotides) under Physcomitrium patens. RNAcentral describes it as "long non-coding RNA (PPAT_LNC001062)". The record is from RNAcentral. Lineage: Eukaryota; Viridiplantae; Streptophyta; Bryopsida; Funariales; Funariaceae.